RNAcentral lists this ribosomal RNA (497 nucleotides) under uncultured bacterium. RNAcentral describes it as "partial 16S ribosomal RNA". It matches the Rfam family "Bacterial small subunit ribosomal RNA", at positions 28 to 507 of the family's 1533-position model. The record is from RNAcentral.
GAUGAACGCUGGCGGCGUGCCUAAUACAUGCAAGUCGAGCGAACAGACGAGGAGCUUGCUCCUCUGACGUUAGCGGCGGACGGGUGAGUAACACGUGGAUAACCUACCUAUAAGACUGGGAUAACUUCGGGAAACCGGAGCUAAUACCGGAUAAUAUAUUGAACCGCAUGGUUCAAUAGUGAAAGACGGUUUUGCUGUCACUUAUAGAUGGAUCCGCGCCGCAUUAGCUAGUUGGUAAGGUAACGGCUUACCAAGGCAACAAUGCGUAGCCGACCUGAGAGGAUGAUCGGCCACACUGGAACUGAGACACGGUCCAGACUCCUACGGGAGGCAGCAGUAGGGAAUCUUCCGCAAUGGGCGAAAGCCUGACGGAGCAACGCCGCGUGAGUGAUGAAGGUCUUCGGAUCGUAAAACUCUGUUAUUAGGGAAGAACAAAUGUGUAAGUAACUAUGCACGUCUUGACGGUACCUAAUCAGAAAGCCACGGCUAACUACGUG